UACGAAGGGAGCUAGCGUUGUUCGGAAUCACUGGGCGUAAAGCGCACGUAGGCGGAUUUGCCAGUCAGGGGUGAAAUCCCGGGGCUCAACCUCGGAACUGCCUUUGAUACAGCAAGUCUUGAGUUCGAGAGAGGUGGGUGGAAUUCCUAGUGUAGAGGUGAAAUUCGUAGAUAUUAGGAAGAACACCGGUGGCGAAGGCGGCCCACUGGAUCGGUACUGACGCUGAGGUGCGAAAGCGUGGGGAGCAAACAGG
Molecule: ribosomal RNA, 253 nt
Filed under: uncultured bacterium
Lineage: Bacteria
Description: partial 16S ribosomal RNA
Rfam family: Bacterial small subunit ribosomal RNA
Source: RNAcentral